Molecule: long non-coding RNA, 1121 nt
Organism: Mauremys mutica (yellowpond turtle)
Lineage: Eukaryota; Metazoa; Chordata; Testudines; Geoemydidae
Exons: 4
Source: RefSeq, a predicted model, not a curated record
CUGUAGAGGGAGAAGGGUCUGGUUGCUGGGAGCUAGACAUAGGGUACUGGAGUGGAGCAGGGCUGGGGAGCUUCUGCCUGGAAAGCCCCAGGCUGUGGUCUAGGGUAAGGUCAAGAGGUGCAAAGCUUAGCCAAGCAAAGCCAGAAACCCAGGAGGAAAGCUUCUCAGAGGGCAUUUCCCACCCAGGUUGGAGCCAUCUCAGGAAUCUCACCAGAACUUUUUACUGAGAUUUUCAGCCCCAUUUUGCAGACUUUGCAGCCAGCACAUCCAACGGUCCACGCUGCUUCCUGCAGCCCCCAUUGGCCUGGAACAGCAAACAGCGGCCAGUGGGAGCUGUGAUCGGCUGAACCUGCAGACGCUGCAGCACCCCUGUGGAAUAGAGCAGCUAUCAUCCCUAUUGUACAGAUUGGGCACUGAAGCACAGAGAAGGAAUGCACCCGAUCACUAUUCCCUGAUUAAAACCUGGAGCCUGAGGACAGAAAUACAUUUUGCAAAGGUUUUGACAGUCACUGUCAACAUGAUUGUGUAUGGAGUUUUUGACAACAUCAUAGAGAUCAAUCAGAGGAGAAACGUUCUGUUUGACUACGUGUGAAUAUGGACAGCUAUUGCGUGUUUUUUCAGCAGACCUGUACACAAAAGAGAAUUUCUUAGAUGUGUUUCUUUGUGACUGGCUCCCAGGUGGAAAGCUGUCUCAGACUUCUAGGUUUGGGGGUCAGCACUCACCCACAGAAUGAACUGGGAGAACACUGGCUCACCUUGUACCUGUGUAGUGUGAUCAUGGAGAGUUUUUGACUCAUACGGACACCCUCCCCCAAUAGUAGGUCCUUUCCUAGAAGCAUGAUGAAAUUUCUAAACAAAAAUGCCACCAACAUUGUUUCACAUUAGACACUUACAAGACCUCCAUUCUGUCCCCUGUAGUAUCACUGUGUGUUUUUCUUACAUCACUGUAAUAUUUAUCUUUCGACCAGAUUUUAAAAUUGUAUUCUAAUGACUUAGUGCAAAAUGACCAGCUAGUGACGAAUUUCGUAAAAAAUAAAAAACCAUAAGAUCUUAGGCAUGUCUUGGCUCAUUCAAAACCUGUUUCCACAAGCCCAUGGACAUCUUCCAAUGACUUUCAUUAC